CGACUUGCGAGGAAUCUCACUGAGAGUCCGCCGUUGGCGACUGAGCCGAAAAUUACAACACUACUGCUGUUGAGUUCCUGAGGCGGCUUCCGGGCGUGACGGACUCCAACUACAGGUCUCUGAUGGAUGGGUCACCAGCAU
This is a long non-coding RNA of Macadamia integrifolia, 141 nucleotides long. RefSeq lists it as uncharacterized. The record is from RefSeq and is a predicted model, not a curated record. NCBI's taxonomy places the organism in Eukaryota, Viridiplantae, Streptophyta, Magnoliopsida, Proteales, Proteaceae. The transcript has 3 exons.